UUAAGCGACUAAGCGUACACGGUGGAUGCCCUGGCAGUCAGAGGCGAUGAAGGACGUGCUAAUCUGCGAUAAGCGUCGGUAAGGUGAUAUGAACCGUUAUAACCGGCGAUUUCCGAAUGGGGAAACCCAGUGUGUUUCGACACACUAUCAUUAACUGAAUCCAUAGGUUAAUGAGGCGAACCGGGGGAACUGAAACAUCUAAGUACCCCGAGGAAAAGAAAUCAACCGAGAUUCCCCCAGUAGCGGCGAGCGAACGGGGAGCAGCCCAGAGCCUGAAUCAGUGUGUGUGUUAGUGGAAGCGUCUGGAAAGGCGCGCGAUACAGGGUGACAGCCCCGUACACAAAAAUGCACAUGCUGUGAGCUCGAUGAGUAGGGCGGGACACGUGGUAUCCUGUCUGAAUAUGGGGGGACCAUCCUCCAAGGCUAAAUACUCCUGACUGACCGAUAGUGAACCAGUACCGUGAGGGAAAGGCGAAAAGAACCCCGGCGAGGGGAGUGAAAAAGAACCUGAAACCGUGUACGUACAAGCAGUGGGAGCACGCUUAGGCGUGUGACUGCGUACCUUUUGUAUAAUGGGUCAGCGACUUAUAUUCUGUAGCAAGGUUAACCGAAUAGGGGAGCCGAAGGGAAACCGAGUCUUAACUGGGCGUUAAGUUGCAGGGUAUAGACCCGAAACCCGGUGAUCUAGCCAUGGGCAGGUUGAAGGUUGGGUAACACUAACUGGAGGACCGAACCGACUAAUGUUGAAAAAUUAGCGGAUGACUUGUGGCUGGGGGUGAAAGGCCAAUCAAACCGGGAGAUAGCUGGUUCUCCCCGAAAGCUAUUUAGGUAGCGCCUCGUGAAUUCAUCUCCGGGGGUAGAGCACUGUUUCGGCAAGGGGGUCAUCCCGACUUACCAACCCGAUGCAAACUGCGAAUACCGGAGAAUGUUAUCACGGGAGACACACGGCGGGUGCUAACGUCCGUCGUGAAGAGGGAAACAACCCAGACCGCCAGCUAAGGUCCCAAAGUCAUGGUUAAGUGGGAAACGAUGUGGGAAGGCCCAGACAGCCAGGAUGUUGGCUUAGAAGCAGCCAUCAUUUAAAGAAAGCGUAAUAGCUCACUGGUCGAGUCGGCCUGCGCGGAAGAUGUAACGGGGCUAAACCAUGCACCGAAGCUGCGGCAGCGACGCUUAUGCGUUGUUGGGUAGGGGAGCGUUCUGUAAGCCUGCGAAGGUGUGCUGUGAGGCAUGCUGGAGGUAUCAGAAGUGCGAAUGCUGACAUAAGUAACGAUAAAGCGGGUGAAAAGCCCGCUCGCCGGAAGACCAAGGGUUCCUGUCCAACGUUAAUCGGGGCAGGGUGAGUCGACCCCUAAGGCGAGGCCGAAAGGCGUAGUCGAUGGGAAACAGGUUAAUAUUCCUGUACUUGGUGUUACUGCGAAGGGGGGACGGAGAAGGCUAUGUUGGCCGGGCGACGGUUGUCCCGGUUUAAGCGUGUAGGCUGGUUUUCCAGGCAAAUCCGGAAAAUCAAGGCUGAGGCGUGAUGACGAGGCACUACGGUGCUGAAGCAACAAAUGCCCUGCUUCCAGGAAAAGCCUCUAAGCAUCAGGUAACAUCAAAUCGUACCCCAAACCGACACAGGUGGUCAGGUAGAGAAUACCAAGGCGCUUGAGAGAACUCGGGUGAAGGAACUAGGCAAAAUGGUGCCGUAACUUCGGGAGAAGGCACGCUGAUAUGUAGGUGAAGCGACUUGCUCGUGGAGCUGAAAUCAGUCGAAGAUACCAGCUGGCUGCAACUGUUUAUUAAAAACACAGCACUGUGCAAACACGAAAGUGGACGUAUACGGUGUGACGCCUGCCCGGUGCCGGAAGGUUAAUUGAUGGGGUCAGCGCAAGCGAAGCUCUUGAUCGAAGCCCCGGUAAACGGCGGCCGUAACUAUAACGGUCCUAAGGUAGCGAAAUUCCUUGUCGGGUAAGUUCCGACCUGCACGAAUGGCGUAAUGAUGGCCAGGCUGUCUCCACCCGAGACUCAGUGAAAUUGAACUCGCUGUGAAGAUGCAGUGUACCCGCGGCAAGACGGAAAGACCCCGUGAACCUUUACUAUAGCUUGACACUGAACAUUGAGCCUUGAUGUGUAGGAUAGGUGGGAGGCUUUGAAGUGUGGACGCCAGUCUGCAUGGAGCCGACCUUGAAAUACCACCCUUUAAUGUUUGAUGUUCUAACGUUGACCCGUAAUCCGGGUUGCGGACAGUGUCUGGUGGGUAGUUUGACUGGGGCGGUCUCCUCCUAAAGAGUAACGGAGGAGCACGAAGGUUGGCUAAUCCUGGUCGGACAUCAGGAGGUUAGUGCAAUGGCAUAAGCCAGCUUGACUGCGAGCGUGACGGCGCGAGCAGGUGCGAAAGCAGGUCAUAGUGAUCCGGUGGUUCUGAAUGGAAGGGCCAUCGCUCAACGGAUAAAAGGUACUCCGGGGAUAACAGGCUGAUACCGCCCAAGAGUUCAUAUCGACGGCGGUGUUUGGCACCUCGAUGUCGGCUCAUCACAUCCUGGGGCUGAAGUAGGUCCCAAGGGUAUGGCUGUUCGCCAUUUAAAGUGGUACGCGAGCUGGGUUUAGAACGUCGUGAGACAGUUCGGUCCCUAUCUGCCGUGGGCGCUGGAGAACUGAGGGGGGCUGCUCCUAGUACGAGAGGACCGGAGUGGACGCAUCACUGGUGUUCGGGUUGUCAUGCCAAUGGCACUGCCCGGUAGCUAAAUGCGGAAGAGAUAAGUGCUGAAAGCAUCUAAGCACGAAACUUGCCCCGAGAUGAGUUCUCCCUGACUCCUUGAGAGUCCUGAAGGAACGUUGAAGACGACGACGUUGAUAGGCCGGGUGUGUAAGCGCAGCGAUGCGUUGAGCUAACCGGUACUAAUGAACCGUGAGGCUUAACCU
RNAcentral lists this ribosomal RNA (2901 nucleotides) under Escherichia coli. RNAcentral's name for it is "23S ribosomal RNA". It matches the Rfam family "Bacterial large subunit ribosomal RNA". The record is from RNAcentral. Lineage: Bacteria; Pseudomonadati; Pseudomonadota; Gammaproteobacteria; Enterobacterales; Enterobacteriaceae.